Long non-coding RNA from Panicum virgatum (switchgrass), 1493 nucleotides. RefSeq lists it as uncharacterized. NCBI's taxonomy places the organism in Eukaryota, Viridiplantae, Streptophyta, Magnoliopsida, Poales, Poaceae. The transcript has 2 exons. The record is from RefSeq and is a predicted model, not a curated record.
UUGAGGCAUGGAUGGGUUAGGAUUAGGGGAUUUGGAGCUGGGGGUAUGGUGGGGGUUAGGCAUGGAGCCCCAUGGAUAUGCUUCAACCUCUCCAUCAUCGAGGAUUAGAGGUGAGGGGCUAGGCAUGCUGGCCCCAUGGAUAUACGUGGUUCUAAGUUUUACCAUUUCUACAUAUCAAUUUUGCGCUUGUUGUUUUGGUGCUAGACCAAUCCAUGUGUUGUAGUUAGAGGAUGGUGAGUGAAGAACUAAAGAUGUGGAUGGGUGUGUUUAGGAUUUUGGAGUACACAAUUUUCAUUGUCUGAUGUGUUUUCAGGAAUGGAACUUUUUUGCUGUAGUUGUCCGUUGCAAUUGGGGUGUAGGCAAGCUUGUGCUGUGGGAGCCAUGCCAUUUAGGGACGCAAUGGUGAAUGUGGGAGGGAGUUUGUGCUGUUUGUCACCACCAGAUUCGUAUGUACUACCGCUUGUGUUCGAGAAGCCAUGGGAUCGGUAGCUUAGAUUUUGGUCAUUUUCUUAGCAAUUUAGUUUAUCCAUGCUAAGAAUUUUAUAUUGAAUUUACAAGCAAUUUUAUAUGAGCCACUACCACUAUGUAGUUAUGGUUAUGUAAUAAGGGUAGGCUAUUUAGGAUUUAGGCAAUUUAGUUUAUUAUGCAAAUAUGGUAGUCUAGUUUUGUGGUUGUCUAUAACUCUAUAUGAUGGUUAUGAGAUCCAAUAUUUUACUUCUACAUUCGGUAGAUCACAAGCACCUAUGUUAUUUGUCUUAUCAUUCUUGAGACAUUAUUCAUCAUUUGGGCUAUCCGGUAACCACCUGUAUAUAUGUCGGUUCUAAAUAAUCAAUGGUAAAGAUAUUAGCUUCUAAAUUAAACAAUUUAGGAUCCACAAGGAAGCAUUAUAGGCUGUGCAAUUUAGAAAUUUAGGAACCAUGGAUAAGCAAAUUUAGUUGUAUGAUCAAUUUAGGCCACUAUUCUACAAUUACGUACAAUGCAAAAGUAAAGAAUUUGUAAUUUAACAGUUUCAGCUUUAUGUGUGCAUGUUCCUAUCAUAUUGCAGGCCAGCAAAGAAUUCACCAUGAUUAUGCAGAAGAAGCUCCAAAAUAGUUUAUGUAAACUACCUUGGACGAACUGUUCUCCCAAUGGUUUGUUGCUCUUCUUUUCUGUUGGUCCUACCUCUUUUCUGAAGUGGAGCAAGAAAGAAAUCACAGCAUUUCUCAAUCUCUGUCUAAUGAUGUGAGGAGAAGACGCUGCUACAUGGGUGAACCACACACACAUGUAUGGGCAAGACUGAAGCAGCUACCCUAUGCUCACCCUCCUCCAAAUCAGGGUCUGAUUGGUCCCAAAUUUUGUUGAUGUUUGCUACUUUGUCGGGCAAUAAUCUGAAUCUAGAAUGUUUUAAUUUCACUAUAAAGAGUAAAAGGCUGCUAUGGUCUGGGUGCCUGCCCCUCCCACAUCUCCUGGGAGUAUGGCAUAUACCAGUAUAUUAUCCAUGCAAUUUUCAUCUG